UCCUUAGCAGUCCGCCCCUUCGGGGAGCGGGUUGCUGGCCUCCUAUGUUCCUAACGGUCCUCAUCCGCGAGGGUGGGGAAUCAACCGCUAGGAUCGUUUACUUUGAGGAAAUUAGAGUGUUCAAAGCAGGCGUAACUCGCCUCCGAAUACGUUAGCAUGGGAUAAUGGAAUACGACUUCGGUCUUGUUUCGUUGGUUUCGCUUGGCUGAAGUAAUGAUUGAUAGGGACAGUUGGGGGCAUUAGUAUUUAGUUGUCAGAGGUGAAAUUCUAGGAUUUACUAAAGACUGACCAAUGCGAAAGCAUUUGCCAAGGAUGUUUUCAUUAAUCAAGAACGAAAGUAGGGGGAUCGAAGACGAUCAGAUACCGUCGUAGUCUCUACCGUAAACUAUGCCGACCAGGGAUCCGGAGAGUUUGCAUGGAUGACUCCCCGGGCACCUUGUGAGAAAUCAUAAGUGUUUGGGUUUUGGGGGGAGUAUGGUC
This 480-nucleotide ribosomal RNA is filed under the name Vermamoeba vermiformis. RNAcentral describes it as "SSU rRNA". It matches the Rfam family "Eukaryotic small subunit ribosomal RNA", at positions 721 to 1130 of the family's 1831-position model. The record is from RNAcentral. Lineage: Eukaryota; Tubulinea; Echinamoebida; Vermamoebidae.